This 492-nucleotide ribosomal RNA is filed under the name uncultured bacterium. RNAcentral's name for it is "partial 16S ribosomal RNA". It matches the Rfam family "Bacterial small subunit ribosomal RNA", at positions 29 to 507 of the family's 1533-position model. The record is from RNAcentral.
AGUGAACGCUGGCGGUAGGCCUAACACAUGCAGGUCGAAUGGCAGCACAGUAAGAGCUUGCUCUUACGGGUGGCGAGUGGCGGACGGGUGAGGAAUACAUCGGAAUCUACUUUUUCGUGGGGGAUAACGUAGGGAAACUUACGCUAAUACCGCAUACGACCUACGGGUGAAAGCAGGGGAUCUUCGGACCUUGCGCGAUUGAAUGAGCCGAUGUCGGAUUAGCUAGUUGGCGGGGUAAAGGCCCACCAAGGCGACGAUCCGUAGCUGGUCUGAGAGGAUGAUCAGCCACACUGGAACUGAGACACGGUCCAGACUCCUACGGGAGGCAGCAGUGGGGAAUAUUGGACAAUGGGCGCAAGCCUGAUCCAGCCAUACCGCGUGGGUGAAGAAGGCCUUCGGGUUGUAAAGCCCUUUUGUUGGGAAAGAAAAGCAGCAGGUUAAUACCCCGCUGUUCUGACGGUACCCAAAGAAUAAGCACCGGCUAACUUCGUG